CUCUCUCUACAUGGCGCUAAGUACUGCCAUGGGACUAAUAAGCACAUGCAGAUGAAUGACUAAUAAUAUCUCUACCAUCAGCUCUCGUUUAUCACAGCCAGAUAAUUUGAAUUUCAAAUUAUCUCCAGAAAGCCUCUCUUUUGAAUAUUUAUUGACAUUUCAACAACUCUUCUUAAUUAAGUAGUUUAUUGGAAUGAACAAGAUCUUUGUUUACUCUAGUUCAGCAGAAGCGUGAAGAGUCAAAAUAACAGCAUUCCUGCUCUGCAGAAGACAUCAAGGAGAACUUUGUCAAGAAAUCUUUGUUCGGCUGUAGGUUUGUUAUUCAUUUCUCCAGCUGUCAGUGAGUGCCCGUAUACAACAGACAUGCUGCUGGGUACAUGUAAAUGAAAAAAUACGUUUGUUGACCUUAGGAACCCCAGAAUCUCCCUAGGAAAAGAGACAUGCAAAACAUGAUAAUAUAGAAAGAAAUGUAUCUCGUGGGAAGUGCAGUAGAGAACAGGAGGAGACGUCUAAAUCAGCCUUACAGAAUCCAAGACUGAACAGAGGAGAGGAUGGUACUUGGGCUUGGCCUGGAGGUGGGGGUCGGAGUGUGUGUAGCCGACUACCUGGGAGGGUGGCUGUGUAGUGGCACUGCAGCGGCCACACAGAGGCAAGGGCAGUCCUUGGCUUCUGAUGUCAGUUUUCUGAGUGGUGCUGUAAUCUGUUUCCAACAGAGGGUGGAUUACAGAAGCCGAAUGCCCGUGGUGGUUUCCCUCUUUAAAGUAACAUGUUAUGUGCGCUCAGAUUAUCAGGGGCUCCUGAUUUCACACUCUGAUGUUAAAUAAAUCAAGAUCAUUAACUUGUAUCUGCAUGAUUUAUUAUUUCAGGCAUUUCACGCUGCUAGGGAAAGGUUCUAUUUGGAUUGUUACACGCUACAACUCUUAUCCCAGGAGGAAAGAUAUACGUUGCUACUUUGGUUGCCAUCUAAGCAACCCUACAAAGGAUAAUAAAGGG
RNAcentral lists this long non-coding RNA (993 nucleotides) under Homo sapiens (human). Its description in RNAcentral is "HSALNT0217752". Lineage: Eukaryota; Metazoa; Chordata; Mammalia; Primates; Hominidae. The record is from RNAcentral.